CAGCCUCGGGUAACCUCCUACGGACUGCUAACAUUGAGAUCUGUAGGUAACAAGGUUCCGUUUAAGCGUUACUAAAAAGCGUCCUUUCGGGGGUUAAACACCGUUCUUUUUUUUCUACGGGAGCCUUAGCGGGGCCUUACCGGGUUUCGAUUCUAGACGACUAUAAACAAAAAGAAUAUCGCUGUGUCCACACGUUUUACCGAGAAGGUUGACGCCCGGGCAACACUUUUAAUCUGCGGGGACCCUCUUUAAAGAUGGUUGACCAUUCAAACGGCACCAAACGGGCCACGGCCGCCGAAUUGGCCGGUCGUCGGCUCGUGGCCGGGGGCAAGGCGACCUCCGGGUAAGGUUAUAGACCGAGCCAUCGCUGCCGGCGUCUUGUUACGCGGGGGUAGAAAGAGCGAUCCGCAGUCUGGGGGCGCCUGAGCGCACGCCUGCGGCCCCCGAUCCACAGGCCAGAUGGGAGUGGGUUGGCGGGCAAACGCUUGCCCGUCGGCUUGAGAUAUGGUCGAGCUCUCUGCUUAAAUGUAGGGACUAGAACGGCCUUCGUCCUAGGGGGCGCGGGGGCGCGAGCGCGCUCCUUUACCCCUAAGGCAAGGGUCGGCUGUUUGGCGUUCCGUAGGUGAACCUGCGGAAGGAUCAUUACCGAGUUGGGCCCGCGGGGUGGCGGCCCCCCGUCCCCCCCGCGGCCAACGUCCCAUUUCCGAUGCUGUUUGGCGUCGAGGCGCCGUAGGGCCCCCGGAGCCCGGGGGUUCCGCACGACAGGUCCACGAACGAAGAUUCGUUAACCGAAACCAGAGUUCUCUCUCUGAGACUUUUACCGAGCUUAAAUGCGUUUUGAAAACUUUCAACAACGGAUCUCUUGGUUCUGGCAUCGAUGAAGAACGCAGCAAAAUGCGAAAAGUAAUGUGAAUUGCAGGAUUCAGUGAACCAUCGAGUCUUUGAACGCACAUUGCGCCCCCCGGUAUCCCGGAGGGCACGCCUGUUCGAGCGUCAUUUCAACCACAGUCGGGUCUCCGUGCCCGGUGUUGGGGGAGACGUGGCCCGCCGCGUCGGGCCCCCCCGAAAGCGUGUGGCAGGCGGUGGCGUCCGGCCCCGGUGAAGUCGCGGAAGACCGCGGGGGCGCGGCGGCUACUGGCCCCGAACAGCCCGUGACACUUAGGUUGACCUCGGAUCAGGCGGGGGUACCCGCUGAACUUAAGCAUAUCAAUAAGCGGAGGAAAAGAAACCAAC
This 1233-nucleotide small RNA is filed under the name Ascomycota sp. KWS 11. RNAcentral's name for it is "eukaryotic LSU rRNA". The stretch from base 843 to 996 matches the Rfam family "5.8S ribosomal RNA". Lineage: Eukaryota; Fungi; Ascomycota. The record is from RNAcentral.